UAGAUUUUACUAAAAGUUUCAGUGGAACAUUAAUUGGAACUUCAAGAUUGGUAAAUUGGAAAAUAAAAUGAAAUUAUUGUGUGACAUAAAUAGAAGAAAAUGAAAUUUAUUACCUGCAUAACAUUAUCAUUGCUAGGUUUUCUGCCUUGCAUAUCAUGCCAAGAAAAACUAUUUCCCGACAUUGGUGACCUAUUCCAAUUUGAUGUCGAACCACUAAACAUAAGUGCACUAAAACAUCAUGAUUUAAUCGCUAGAAAUGUAUCCAUUGAUGUAGAAAAGGUCGAUAUCAAAAAACUUUGGAAAAAGAUGCCCCGGCCAACCAGCAAUGAAACGUUCGUGAAUGAUACGAGACGUCAAAUUUGGGUGGGUUCAUAUUAUGAGUACCAAGAGGCGUCAUUACAUAUGGCGAAGAUGAAGGUGUUGGACAUUAUGCUGCAGACUAUUUACAUGGCAAGACAUAAGUUACAGCAAUUAGAGAAUGAAAGAUAUUUCAAUUCGAAGGAUACGUCGUAUCGUAUCGCAUUCCUCUACAGAACGAUCAGAAGAAUUUGGAAAAAGAUUCACGAUAUUUAUAACACUAUGGAGAGAAUGAGGCCGAAGAAUAAUAUCAAGAUGCUCAAUCCGUACCUGAUCCUCCACCACUACGCAGCGAAGCUACACGUAGACUUCCUGUACCUUUGGUGGGUGCUGGUGAAACUCCAUGAAAAAUAUAAUCAAGCACAUGACAUUCCUAACUUGAGGCCCAGUGAUCAUAUAUAUUGGGCCGAUGAGUUCCAACGAUUCUACUAAUCAUCAUAACAGCUUACCAGUGGGAGGCUCCUUUGCACAGGAUGCCGGCUAGAUUAUGGGUACCACAACGGCGCCUAUUUCUGCCGUGAAGCAGUAAUGUCUAAACAUUAUUGUGUUUCAGAAGAGCGCCGUAGCUAGUGAAAUUACUGAGCAAACGAGACUUAACAUCUUAUGUCUCAAGGAGACGAGCCCAAUUGUAGUGCCACUCAGAAUUGUUGGAUUUUUCGAAAAUCCUGAGCAGCACUGCAUUGUAAUGGGCAGGGCGUAUCAAUUACCAUCAGCUGAAAGUCCUGCUCAUCUUGUCCCUUCUUGUCACUAAAAAACAAAUAGUUACGGACUUAAUGUCGGAUAUUUACCAUUAUCUUUUGUCAGUAAUUUAAAUAAAUAAAUAAAUUUAAAUAAAGAAUAAAGUAACAGGGUUAAAUGCAAGUACGUAUUCGGCUGGUACUAUGGGUUAAAUUUGUACCCUUUGGGUAAUGAAGGUCAUCCUUGAGAACACACUUUUAUAUAAAUAUCGCCUUCUCUGGCUCAUUCGGGUCGGUCUACCGUGGAGCUAAUAUAGUUUUGGUUGAAUGUCCAAGUCUGUAUUUGUCUUAGUGAACUUAUUAAAUAAUAACU
Leptidea sinapis is the source of this 1407-nucleotide long non-coding RNA. RefSeq lists it as uncharacterized. The transcript is spliced from 4 exons. Lineage: Eukaryota; Metazoa; Arthropoda; Insecta; Lepidoptera; Pieridae. The record is from RefSeq and is a predicted model, not a curated record.